This 581-nucleotide long non-coding RNA is filed under the name Nicotiana benthamiana. RNAcentral's name for it is "long non-coding RNA (NBEN_LNC023366)". The record is from RNAcentral. Lineage: Eukaryota; Viridiplantae; Streptophyta; Magnoliopsida; Solanales; Solanaceae.
UGGAAUUUAUUUAAUAAAAUUAAAAUGAGAGAUAAUAAUAAAAGAUGGAAUUUGUUUAUUGAAAAAAAAAUGAAAUUGAAAUGAGGAUAAUAAUAAAGGAUGGAAUUUGUUUAAUGGAAAUUAAAAAAUGAAAUUGAAAUGAGAGAUAAUAAUAAAAUAUUAAAGAGAGAAGAAUAGAAAAAAAAAUGGGGGAAAAAAUGGGGAAAGGGUUGGAGUAAGUUGUCUCCAAAAUAAAAAUUUCUCCAUUACGAGAGCAAAAUAUUGGAACAAGGUUGGAGAUGGCCUAAGCUCGCCCUUACUAUAUUGUGCAGAACCUAAAUUGCUAUUCAUUUUCACCUAAGUUUUCAUUAGAAGCAAAACCACUAGGGUAAAUUUUCUUACUCUUACUCCGUUUACCAUCCUCGACUAAUUUUUUUCACCGUGCCACCCUCAUUAUUACUACUUCCAGCUUUUUCCACUUCCAUUCUCUUUGACUUCUCUUUUAGGCGUUUUUGCCGCACGUGAAGUUGGCAUAGUUUAACCCCGUGGAAGCCAUAAUUAUUGGAAUAUUAUCCUUAGAGAAAAAUAUUGCUAAGUGUUUG